UUUGAGCUUUGUGGUAAAAUAUUUGUUUGUGUCAUGUGGUACUAGCUAGCUGCAGAAGACAAAGUUGUACAUACAUAUCGUCCAUGAUUUAUUUAUUGAUAUAAGUCCACAUUAUAAUGGAAAUAUAAUGAUUUGAAACAGUGUCGUGUGAACAGUAAUAAAUGUAAUUCGUUAUAGCAAAUUGUGUUCUGAAUUGUUAUCCAAAUUACAAAAGAAUAUCUUUGUACUGCAACUUUUGGAGCCCUGCUGCAGUUAUCUAUGACCUGGAACACAACUCUUUUCUUAUCAUCACCUCACUUUUUUUGAAUUUUUGAUAUGUAUUAUUAAAAGGAACCAACCCAUGGAUAAAAAGGAAUGGAGUCAUUUUAAUGUCAGAGGUAUAGAAGAAACAAGAGUUUUAUGCAUCCACAAAGAGUACUUUAACACAGACUGUUUUACAGUAUAGAUAAAGAAAAUAUUUCACAUUUUACACAACAUUCUCACAGAUAAAUGUGCGCAAAAAGAAUUCAUUCAUAAUUUUUUUGCAUUUAACUGCAGAUACUUGUAUAAUAUUAUAAAAUAUAUCUAGGCCCAUGAAUAGUUUCUAAUUAAAAUGGUAUUUCCAAAACUGUAGCAAUUUGACAAUUAUAUUUGCAUGAUCAAUAUAUAAUAUUCACAAAAUACCCAUAUAUUUCUCAUGUGGAAGUCACCAGUGCCAGUCAGAAUCUAUUAUGAAUAUUUUCCCCUGAUAAAUUCCAAUAUGCAUUACAGGUGCUUAUGUAAAGCAGAUCAUAUUUAUUCGUGUUUUGUAUUAAGUAAUUUCCUGUGAGAAAACAGUUUCUCUGGAAAUAUGAGUUAAUUCAAGUACUGCCUGAACAAUAAUAUUUUAUUGUUUAUAUACAACAAAAUUUGUUUCAAAAGAAUUAAUUUGUGAAAAUGUAGUCAACAGACUAUGCACAAUUUAACUGAGCUUUCUGUGUAGAAUUUUGUGCAAAAUUUUAGAAACAUAAAAUGUAACAUUAUAAAUUAUAAAUUUACUUAGAAGAAGAAAGCUUAAACAGGAAAACGUUUUUUUACAUUAAAAGCUACUACACCAGAAGGACUACUUAUCUUCAUAGAAUCUAACAGCAAAGGCAACUGACACCACAUCCAUUAACAUAUAUGUUAGCCACAACAUUAAGCUUCUUAUUAAUUAAUAUUCUAUCAGCUUCCAUUUGUUAAAUUUCAUUAUUUGUGCCAAUUUGAUUACAAACAUGCUAAAAAAAUAAUGUGCUCAGUGACGCAAUGUUACACUGAGGUGAGUACAUGCAACUUCUUUGGUUUAUUUUAGACAACUAAAAUUCUGCAGGCUGUAGCCUGUCUCACUGCAUUAGAAGUUGCACCAGUGGUCAGGUGUUUUCAAUAUAGUUUCAGUCGGCAUUUAAAGAAUUUGACAUCUUUUACAAUUUUUUACAGAAUAGGUAGGUAUGUUAUUCACAAGCUGGAGACAAUGAAAUGUCAAUCUUCAUAUGAGUAGAGUCUCUUAAAAUAUUUCUCAGUAGGAUAAAAACUACACAUGAAAUAAUGAAUAGUGGACCACAUUCAAUAUUUCUUGAUAAAUGCUGGUUGAGAGCGAAAUAUAGACUUAAGUAUGAAUGAUUAAUCUGUAGAAUGCCUUGAAAUACAAUCAUCAGGAAAUUGAACUAAUUUUAAAUUUUGAUAGGUAAUUAUUCACAUGACUACUUUCACUUAAAUAGAAUAUUUACAAAAAAUAAACAUAUAAGAUUAGGGUUUAAUGUUGCCCCAGUAACGUAGGUCAACAGACACAGAGUAGAAGCUUGAGUACAUGAAGGGUGGCAGAAGAAACCAUUAGUGUUCUUGUCAUUGAAACAACCCCAGAACCCUCCUUAACGGAUUUUUGAAAAAAAAAUGGAAUGCCUAAACCAGUAUGGGCAGAUGCAACCAUGAACUAUUAUCCUCCUGAAUGAGAAUUCCAUAAUCUAACCACUGUGCAACCUUCCUUGGUACAAUAUUUGCAUUCAACUUGUGAAAGGUAUUGUAUGUACUACAAAAAUUGCCCAAAGACUCAGCUAAUCCAUAGUUGAUGAAGAGAUACAAACUUACUAAUAAAAUCUGAAAAUAAAUAACUUUCCUACACUGAGCAGCAAGCACACUUGGUAUCUCUGAACUGACCUCAACAACUGUAAAAAUUAGAUUAGACAGUAUCAUUAUUUUCUCGCCAAAUACACAAAAUCAUUCACAUUGACACAUGAACACUAAAGAAGAUUAAAUUAACAUAAUAAAGAGACAAAUCCUGAGUAAUAUAUUCAUGGAACAUAACACAUUGGUUAUAAAUUUCAUUUCUUGUAAUAGUAUUGUUGUAAAUUACAAUUUCUCAUUAAUUUAUUUUAUGAAUGUAAGUAUUAUACACAAAGUAAUACAUGUCACACAAUCCUUUUAGGUAUUAGAAUAAUAACAGAUAUGAGUAGAAAGGCUGCUAGAAUGAGUACAUAAUUUAAUUUAAAUAUAUACCAAUGAAUGUUAAGUAGAAACUGCUAGACAGAAAACAGGAAUGUUACAGUUAAAUUAAUCCAUUCUUAUUCACAGGUUGCAUCUGAAGUUAAUGUAUGCAUUUUGCAAGAGUAUCAGAUAAAAAAGUUAACUAUCUUACAGGAUACAGUGUAUCAUGAUGCGAUCCAUUAACUAUUUAUAAUUUCUCGUAUAAUGUGAUUCUUGGUCCAUCAUUCACACAGUAGUGAGUUUCUCAUCAUAGGAUUUUCUCUGCCGAAAUCUGUAGGUAUUUUUGAACUUUCAAGCUUUCGUUUGAGCUCCAUAGAGUGGUAAGCCAUUCAUACAAGCACAAAAAAGUGAAAGAGGUUGACUUUGUCUUGAAAAUAGAAGAAAAUAUUCACAUGAAUGGAAGAGUAUUGAUGGCUUGUAAAAUAUUUUUGAAAUCGUUUUAUCCAAUAAUACAAUAAACUAAUUUGUUGAAUAUACUAUGACAAUACAUUUGAAUAUUAGAGUAAUUUCUCAGUACAAAUCAGAUAACAUAUUUCCCAGAAGUCCAAGUUAAAACAUUUACUUUUAGCUCCUGGCCUGUUUCAAAAUGAUUAGUAAUGUUAAGUUAGGAGAAUUAUACAUACAGAAGUGAGCCAAAGAUCUACACCAAAAUAAAGUAACGUAGGUCCUUGUCACGUUCAUAAGAAAUGUUUUUAAGUAAAUAGUAACAAAGGCUGAAUUCUUCUGUGCGUAAAGUUAUUGAAAUAAUCUGAAUAUCAGGGAGAAGAGGGAAACAACAUUAGGGUACUUCAUAUAAAACAUGUUGUUUCAAUGGUGAUGUACCAUAUAAUCAUUGCUGUCAGCAGAAGAAGGGUAUGAUGCACUAGUUUAUAGUGGUAACAUUUGGCUUUCAGUUAAUGAAACUUAAGGACGAAUUUCUGGCAGAAAAUACAGUAUGAGAUAAUAAAUAAUGAUGAUAGAAAGAAAAUAAAUUAUAAUAUUAUAGUGAGGAGAAAAAUCUUCAGUAGUAUUCUUACUCAUCAUAAAGCAUGUAAAAGAAAUUUAUCACUGUAGUACUGAACGGAGCUUGUUGAAGCUAUAUUGGCAAGAAAAGGAAAAUAAUAUAAUUAGUGAGAGGAGCUGUGUAGCAAUCAUUUGAAAGUCUUUGAAAAACAUGUAGAAUUCAUAGAAGAUUCUCUAAGACAGUGACUUGUGGUACUGCUUGGUAAGAUAUGAGAUCAUACUUUCCAGGACUGUGUGACAGAUAGCCACAGUAAUACAUCAAUUUCUCAAACUUAGGGCCCCAAGCAGCUCCUAAAAAUAAAAUAAAUGUAUGUUAUUCUCCAUUGACUAUAGAAAUUAUUUCUUUCACAUUUACAAUUUCGGCCUUUGAGGCAUUUUCAAAUGGUAGUGCAAAAGCUAAAAUACUACGAAAGUGAAGCACAGAAUGCAUAUACAGAACUGCACAAGCAUGUCAUAUAGACAGUAGAAAAUUACAAAAAUGGUGAAAAUAAUACAUCACUUACAUUUUGCUUCAGUACAUGUCAGACCUUACAAUACUCCAACAUGCAUACAUGUCAUCGCUAAAACUAAGCCUUUUCACUUUAGAUAUACAGAAACAUCAAACAAGUGAAAAGCUCUAGACAUUGUUAAAUGGUGUACAUUAUGUGAAAUGUUACCAGUGUUAACAUCUUUCAUAUAAAUCACUCAAAGUCAAUGUUCUAACACACUGUU
This is a long non-coding RNA of Schistocerca cancellata (South American locust), 4191 nucleotides long. RefSeq lists it as uncharacterized. NCBI's taxonomy places the organism in Eukaryota, Metazoa, Arthropoda, Insecta, Orthoptera, Acrididae. The record is from RefSeq and is a predicted model, not a curated record. The transcript has 2 exons.